CCAAUAGCGUAUAUUAAAGUUGUUGCAGUUAAAAAGCUCGUAGUUGAAUUUCGGGGUUCCACCGUUGGUCGGGCAAUAGUCUGUACUGGCGUGUGGAAUUUCUACCUUCUGGGGAACCAUCAUGUUAUUUAUUUAGCGUGGUGGGAAACCAGGACCUUUACCUUGAAAAAAUUAGAGUGUUCAAAGCAGGCUUAUGUCUGAAUACAUUAGCAUGGAAUAAUACAAUAGGACGGUGGUCCCGUUUUGUUGGUUUCUGAAUCACCGUAAUGAUGAAUAGGGAUAGUUGGGGGCAUUAGUAUUCAAUUGUCAGAGGUGAAAUUCUUGGAUUUAUUGAAGACUAACUUCUGCGAAAGCAUUUGCCAAGGAUGUUUUCAUUAAGCAAGAACGAAAGUUAGGGGAUCGAAGACGAUCAGAUACCGUCGUAGUCUUAACCAUAAACUAUGCCGACUAGGGAUCUGACGAUGUUAAUUUUUCUUGACUCGUACGGCGCCUUACG
Molecule: ribosomal RNA, 496 nt
Filed under: uncultured Glomeromycotina
Lineage: Eukaryota; Fungi; Glomeromycota
Description: partial small subunit ribosomal RNA
Rfam family: Eukaryotic small subunit ribosomal RNA
Source: RNAcentral